This 253-nucleotide ribosomal RNA is filed under the name uncultured bacterium. Its description in RNAcentral is "partial 16S ribosomal RNA". It matches the Rfam family "Bacterial small subunit ribosomal RNA", at positions 524 to 776 of the family's 1533-position model. The record is from RNAcentral.
UACGGAGGGUGCAAGCGUUAUCCGGAUUCACUGGGCUUAAAGGGUGCGUAGGUGGUCAGGUAAGUCAGUGGUGAAAUCUCUGGGCUUAACCCAGAAACUGCCGUUGAUACUAUCUGUCUUGAAUAUAGUGGAGGUGAGCGGAAUAUGUCAUGUAGCGGUGAAAUGCUUAGAUAUGACAUAGAACACCCAUUGCGAAGGCAGCUCGCUAGACUAUUAUUGACACUGAGGCACGAAAGCGUGGGGAGCAAACAGG